GUUGAACGCUGGCGGCAUGCCUUACACAUGCAAGUCGAACGGCAGCACGGGUGCUUGCACCUGGUGGCGAGUGGCGAACGGGUGAGUAAUACAUCGGAACGUACCUUAUCGUGGGGGAUAACGCAGCGAAAGCUGUGCUAAUACCGCAUACGCCCUGAGGGGGAAAGCGGGGGAUCGCAAGACCUCGCGCGAUUAGAGCGGCCGAUGCCUGAUUAGCUUGUUGGGGGGGUAAAAGCCCACCAAGGCGACGAUCAGUAGCUGGUCUGAGAGGACGAUCAGCCACACUGGGACUGAGACACGGCCCAGACUCCUACGGGAGGCAGCAGUGGGGAAUUUUGGACAAUGGGGGCAACCCUGAUCCAGCAAUGCCGCGUGAGUGAAGAAGGCCUUCGGGUUGUAAAGCUCUUUUGUCAGGGAAGAAACACCGGCUCUAACACAGUCCGGGAAUGACGGUACCUGAAGAGUAAGCACCGGCUAACUACGUGCCAGCCGCCGCAGUAA
Molecule: ribosomal RNA, 501 nt
Filed under: uncultured bacterium
Lineage: Bacteria
Description: partial 16S ribosomal RNA
Rfam family: Bacterial small subunit ribosomal RNA
Source: RNAcentral